CAGCCGCCGCGGGAAUACAGAGGGUGCGAGCGUUAAUCGGAUUUACUGGGCGUAAAGCGUGCGUAGGUGGUGGUUUAAGUCCGUUGUGAAAGCCCUGGGCCCAACCUGGGAAUUGCAGUGGAUACUGGGUCACUAGAGUGUGGUAGAGGAUAGUGGAAUUUCCGGUGUAGCAGUGAAAUGCGUAGAGAUUGGAAGGAACAUCUGUGGCGAAGGCGACUAUCUGGGCCAACACUGACACUGAGGCACGAAAGCGUGGGGAGCAAACAGGAUUAGAUACCCCCGUAGUCCCUGUCUCUUAUAC
RNAcentral lists this ribosomal RNA (301 nucleotides) under uncultured bacterium. Its description in RNAcentral is "partial 16S ribosomal RNA". It matches the Rfam family "Bacterial small subunit ribosomal RNA", at positions 509 to 807 of the family's 1533-position model. The record is from RNAcentral.